GAUUCUUAUUCAUGAAUAAGACUGAUAAGAGUGGUUGAAAUUCUUAUUUUGGUAUAAUCUUUUUGUAUUAGUAGCUAUCAUAUGGUUGAAGGGGUGAUUGGAGCUUGGUUGGUGGAUGUGUUAGUAGCUGUUAUGUGGCUGGUGGAUCUAUCUAUUUGUAGGGUGAUCUCCAAUCUUUUUGUAUUAGUAGCUUAGGAAUGCUGAAAGCAACCCACAAUAUUCUAAAUCCAGCAUUUUCUUGGUCAAAUUCCAACAACUUCAGGUAUUUACCUAACAAUAAUAACAACCAAAUUAUGAAAGAGUUGAUUGUAUGAAAGAGUACUUGAAGAAUCACUUUGUCAUAAGCUCCUUUUUAUUUUCUUUUUCAUGUUUAGGCAGCAAUUCAUGGCAGUGGUGGUAGUAGAACUUCUGUUUCUGAGGGCAUGGAACAUCUGCCAUUUAUAUUCACUUUAAGGCAGCAGCGGGUGAGCCUUAUAUGAAGAUUCAGUUUAGAAUCUCAUCUUUUGCAAUUCACUUACUUGAGAAGGGAACACAGGAAAUGGUGAAAGGGUGGGAAGCUAAUCUUCUCAUUUGAUGCAACAAAGAAAGCUCGCUUUGUACUCCCAUGACAUAUAAAUAAUGAGCUUCAAAUCAGAUGGUUUAAGCUCCCAAAUUGCUUUAUCUUCCAUAAUGGUGAGUUUUUUUUUCCUUCAAUGGACCAACAACAAUGUCUCGCGAAACAUUUCAAGCUUACUAUGCCUGAUGUGCAUGUUGCAUCAUAAUCAUAUAUGUCAUAUCAAGCAGGGUUAAUUGGCCUGCACUGAGGGGUCCCAAAUGUGUGUUUGUGUUUCUAGUCCUUUGUAGCAUGCUCCCAUUCUUCAAUGUUGAUCAUUAGUGGGGAGACUUUUCUUUUUCACUCAUUUACCUUUGGCAUCUUUUUUUAUCUUCCCAGAGCCGAGAUCUGUUUGUUGUCUGUC
Long non-coding RNA from Magnolia sinica, 956 nucleotides. RefSeq lists it as uncharacterized. The record is from RefSeq and is a predicted model, not a curated record. NCBI's taxonomy places the organism in Eukaryota, Viridiplantae, Streptophyta, Magnoliopsida, Magnoliales, Magnoliaceae. The transcript has 3 exons.